RNAcentral lists this ribosomal RNA (253 nucleotides) under uncultured bacterium. RNAcentral describes it as "partial 16S ribosomal RNA". It matches the Rfam family "Bacterial small subunit ribosomal RNA", at positions 524 to 776 of the family's 1533-position model. The record is from RNAcentral.
UACGAACCGAGCGAACGUUGUUCGGAAUCACUGGGCUUAAAGGGCGCGUAGGCGGCCUGCCAAGUCAGGAGUGAAAUCUUUCGGCUCAACCGGAAAAGUGCUUUUGAUACUGGCGGGCUAGAGGGAGAUAGGGGCAUGUGGAACUUCCGGCGGAGCGGUGAAAUGCGUUGAUAUCGGAAGGAACGCCGGUGGCGAAAGCGACGUGCUGGACCUCUUCUGACGCUGAGGCGCGAAAGCCAGGGGAGCGAACGGG